AGGGAAUAUUGGACAAUGGGCGCAAGCCUGAUCCAGCCAUGCCGCGUGAGUGAAGAAGGCCCUCGGGUUGUAAAGCUCUUUUGUUGGGGAAGAAAAGCCUUGGGUUAAUACCCUGAGGUUCUGACGGUACCCAAAGAAUAAGCACCGGCUAACUUCGUGCCAGCAGCCGCGGUAAUACGAAGGGUGCAAGCGUUACUCGGAAUUACUGGGCGUAAAGCGUGCGUAGGUGGUUCGUUAAGUCUGAUGUGAAAGCCCUGGGCUCAACCUGGGAAUUGCAUUGGAUACUGGCGAGCUAGAGUGCGGUAGAGGGUAGUGGAAUUCCCGGUGUAGCAGUGAAAUGCGUAGAGAUCGGGAGGAACAUCUGUGGCGAAGGCGACUGCCUGGACCAGCACUGACACUGAGGCACGAAAGCGUGGGGAGCAAAC
This 425-nucleotide ribosomal RNA is filed under the name uncultured bacterium. RNAcentral's name for it is "bacterial SSU rRNA". It matches the Rfam family "Bacterial small subunit ribosomal RNA", at positions 356 to 773 of the family's 1533-position model. The record is from RNAcentral.